CCUACGGGAGGCAGCAGUGAGGAAUAUUGGUCAAUGGACGAGAGUCUGAACCAGCCAAGUAGCGUGAAGGAUGACUGCCCUAUGGGUUGUAAACUUCUUUUAUAUGGGAAUAAAAUGUUCCACGUGUGGGAUUUUGUAUGUACCAUAUGAAUAAGGAUCGGCUAACUCUGUGCUAGCAGCCGCGGUAAUACGGAGGAUCCGAGCGUUAUCCGGAUUUAUUGGGUGUAAAGGGACGGAGGUGGAUUGUUAAGGCAGUUGUGAAAAUUUGCGGGUCAACCGUAAAAUUGCAGUUGAAACUGGCAGUCUUGAGUACAGUAGAGGUGGGCGGAAUUCGUGGUGGAGCGGUGGAAUGCUUAGAUAUCACGAAGAACUCCGAUUGCGAAGGCAGCUCACUGGACUGCAACUGACACUGAGGCUCGAAAGUGUGGGUAUCAAACAGGAUUAGAUACCCGAGUAGUC
RNAcentral lists this ribosomal RNA (459 nucleotides) under uncultured bacterium. Its description in RNAcentral is "partial 16S ribosomal RNA". It matches the Rfam family "Bacterial small subunit ribosomal RNA", at positions 338 to 795 of the family's 1533-position model. The record is from RNAcentral.